This 343-nucleotide transfer-messenger RNA is filed under the name Thermaceae. RNAcentral describes it as "Meiothermus sp003351145 Standard tmRNA". It matches the Rfam family "transfer-messenger RNA". Rfam says of the family: Bacterial tmRNA, also known as 10Sa RNA or SsrA, is named for its dual tRNA and mRNA-like properties. Its role is to liberate the mRNA from a stalled ribosome. Lineage: Bacteria; Thermotogati; Deinococcota; Deinococci; Thermales. RNAcentral also lists the same sequence under 1 other name. The record is from RNAcentral.
GGGGGCGUACUGGUUUCGACAGGGAUGCCCAAAGGCAAGGCGGCGUGCCGAGGUAGCCCAUGGCCUCGUAAAAAUGGGCAAAGCCAUAACUGGCAACAAGACCUACGCUCUCGCUGCUUAAAGCGACGCCCCUCAGAAGCCCAGCCGAUGGCUCGCUGAAGGGGCGACCCAAAGUCGGCUGGCCUGCGGCAAGGCUCCGUAGCCAAGGGCGAGAUUCCACGGGGCUGGGCCCAGGCCCGCGGUUGGCGGCGUAAGCCUGGGCGACGAGCAAGCGCCAACUACGCACGUAGAUGUCUGCCGGAGGGGUCUUUGGACAGGGGUUCGACUCCCCUCGCCUCCACCA